UACGAAGGGGGCUAGCGUUGUUCGGAAUCACUGGGCUUAAAGCGCGUGUAGGCGGGACGGCACGUCGGUCGCUGAAAGCCCCCGGCUCAACCGGGGAACGGGCGCCGAGACGACCGCCCUGGAGGGACGUAGGGGGACCUGGAACUUCCGGUGGAGCGGUGAAAUGCGUUGAGAUCGGAAGGAACGCCCGUGGCGAAAGCGAGGUCCUGGACGUCUGCUGACGCUGAGACGCGAAAGCCAGGGGAGCGAACGGG
RNAcentral lists this ribosomal RNA (254 nucleotides) under uncultured bacterium. RNAcentral's name for it is "partial 16S ribosomal RNA". It matches the Rfam family "Bacterial small subunit ribosomal RNA", at positions 524 to 776 of the family's 1533-position model. The record is from RNAcentral.